CAUGGUCUCAUGAUAACAGCGAUUUAUAAUACCACUAAAGCCAUGAUAUCGCUAAAGCCUAAAAUGCUUUCAAAAUUCUUAAGUGCUGAAGAGUUAAGAUCUUCGUGAUAGAAGUCGAGUUUAUGGCUGGCAUGUUAGAUAUUUAAGAUUGCAACAGAUUGCAACAUUAAUCAAGAUACUUAAUAAACAUUGAAUCCCAAGGAUGACAUAUAUGAAAAACGAUACCGAUAUUUUGGGAACAAGACUUAAACAUUGAAGACCAAGAAUAUCAAAUAAGUGUUAAAAAAUAUUUAAAAAAGCAAAAAUAAUAUAAGAUGAAAAAUAUUUUUGCACCCCAUGUAAAACCAAACAAAACGCUGAUUGUCCUAUUUUAUUGAAUAUAAAUAUCAUGUGAUACAUGUAUGAUACAAAUUUGAUAAUAAUAAAAAAAAAUUAAAUAUUGAAAUAAGAUGUCCAUUCAUUUUAACAUGGAAAAGUAUUUAGAUUUAUCUUAUAAAGCUUUAAAGGAAAUCAUGUAUAUAAAUUAUAUGAAGUUCUCAUAGAUAAAGGUUUAAAUACGAUAUUUAUGUAAGUAACUACAUCACACACAUCAAAAAUAACAAUAUCAGACUGCAGAAGUAUCAAAAUGGUAACCAAUCAUGUGGAAAAGAUCAAAGCAAAACUUGUACAUUGGAGACUUGUUGGAUGGGAUAACAGUAUAACAACAACUAAACCUUCAAAAUGUCAUAAACAUUAACACCAAACACAGGAUGUUUACAUGUCGGUAUAGUACAUGCUUCCGUUAUAACAAAAUUGUAAACAGAACUAUCCAACUGCAAGUUGUCACCACGACCAUUUCAACUAGUAAAUUCUCAUAACAUUGAUACAGUGAAGUAAAUACCGUGCAGAAUAUGAAAAUUAUUUGUCAGCUUAAUCUCAAAGCCCGUAGACGAAAAGAAGAAGGAGAUUCAGUAAGUAGGUAAUAAAAACAAGUGCUCAGUAUGAUAACAUUGGUGAACAAUAACAUCAUUAUUAUUAUUAGUUAUCAUUAUUCAUUACCUAUAUAUUAAGAAAGAAUAUUAUUUUACAAUAGAUUGUCCUAUUAUUUAAAAAUUUUUUUUUGUUAAAUAACAUUUUCAUUUAAUUUUAAACAGAAGGGGGCAAUGAAUAAUUAUUAUUCAAUUAGAGCUUAGGAUCUUUGGAUGCAUAGACAUAAUAAUGUCUUUAUUAUUUGUAGUCAUAUCUAUUCCUAACUAAUAACUAUGUAAUUUAUUAAACUAUCUGGAUUAUUCCUGGAGGCCCAUUUUAGAAAUUGAUUGAUUCUGUUCACAAGUUAAGUUGCUCAUAUUUAAGAGCCAUAUAUAUCAAUCAAAGAUCUAAGCCAGUCCAAUGAAAUAUUAUCUCCUUGGUAUUUUUUUAGAUUCUGAGCAGAGCGAGGAAGCUAGUGGAUUUACAAGUGUUUAUUUUUUAUUUUAUUUUUUUUUUUUGUUACUGUGUACAAAAUUUCUACCAGAAGGAGUGUUUUGAUUUCAACAAAAAGUACUUUAUCUUUUUAGCAAAUUGGAUCAAGAUGGUACUUUAAAGAGCAUGUUUGUUUCAUUGAUUUCCUCUGGUUCCAGAGGUACUGUAAGAACUAGAGGUACUACUAUAUGUAUAUUAUUUUCCAUUUCCUCUUCUUGGGGACUUAAGUUAGGAAUCCAAUUCUUAAGAUCACCAGAAACUUCUUUCCCCUCCAUAGUUGUUUUUAAUGAAUCAAAAGUUAAUAAUGAAAAGUUGGACAAUAUACCUCAAGCACCUUUAAAUCUGCUUGUAAUUGACUUGAUCCAAUACUACAAAAUAAACUUCAAUUUUAAAUUGGUCAUAAGGAUUUGUUAUUACUUUACUAGAAAAAACUUCUCCAAGCAACAGUUUCUUAUGGCGGAUACAUAUAUUUGGCAAUCCACAUUCAACUAAUUCAAACCCUGCUGGUUUCUUUAAUCAGUUAUUCAAUAUAGUUAUCAUCCGGUAGACAGAAAAAAAAACUAUGAAAAUAUGAAACAAAUUUUUGUAUUUUACUAUAUUAUGCAUUUAUGUCAUAUUAUUCACUUAUUAUUGUAAGUUUGAAAAUAUAUAAGAAACAAUCUAAACCUUUUUUUACAUUUUUACAAUUCAAACAACGAUCACUACAAUAAUAAUAAUUUAUAUUCAUAGGUUAGGUUAUGUACUUUAAAGAGCACGUUUGUUUCAUUGAUUUCCUCUGGUUCUACAGGUACUACUAUAGGUAUAUUAUUUUCCAUUUCCUCUUCUGGUUAUCUACGCUGUUGUAAGAACAUUCUAUUGCUCUUCAACUCAUUCGCUCUGAGGUUGGUUGUAUCAAUGUGAGAGGAGAUUUCUGUUGGUAAAUCAUCUAUUUUAUCAAUUUCCUCCAUUGGUUCUCUACACUGUUAGAAAGUUUUUGUUUGGUAUAAUUUAAACUCCCAACCACCUCGACUUGGGUAUUAUUAUUUAAUUAUUGAAGUAGACUAAUUCAUAAACUGUCACUGUCGCUUUGUGAUUAAACAUUCCAAAAAUUAGUGUGUUCACAAAAAUUUUCUUCUAUUCUCUGAAAGCAGUUUCUUGAGGUGUAGUCCACUUGAACUCGAUUCCCUUCUUGGUCAAUCUGGUCAGGGGUUCAGUUAGAGUGGCAUAGCUCCUGACAAACCGUCGUAAGAAUCCCGUGAGUCCUAAGAAUCUUCGGAUCACAUGGACAUCCUUCAGAGUAGGAAACUCUUCAAUCGCCUUACUCUUGCCCUUGCCUGGACUGAUUUUUCCUUCUCCGACCACAAACCCCAAAAACUCUAUACUCUUGGAUCCAAACAAGCAUUUGGACGGUCUCAGUGAGAGCAUGUUUGUUUCAUUGAUUUCCUUUGGUUCCAGAGGUACUAUAAGAACUAGAGGUACUACUAUCGGUAUAUUAUUUUCCAUUUCCUCUUCUGGUUCUCUACGCUGUUGUAAAAACAUUCUAUUGCUCUUCAACUCAUUCGCUCUGAGGUUGGUUGUAUCAACAUUUCUGUUGGUAAAUCAUCUAUUUUUUCCAUUUCCUCCACUGGUUCUCUACGCUGUUGUUAGAAAGUUUUUGUUUGGUGUAAGUAAAACUCCCAACCACCUUACUUGGUUAUUAUUAUUUUAUUAUCGAAGUAGACUAAUUCAAAGCAGCCUAGUGGUUUUACAAUUGUGUUUAUUUUUUAUUUUAUUUUUUUUUAUCUUGUGCACUAAAUUUCUACCAGAAGGAGUGCUUCGAUUUCAACAUAAAGUAUCUUAUCUUUUUAGCAAAUUAAAUCAAGAUGGUACUUUAGGGAGCAUGUUUGUUUCAUUGAUUUCCUCUGGUUUCAGAGGUACUGUAAGAACUAGAGGUACUAGUAUCGGUAUAUUGUUAUAUAUUUCGUCCAUUUCCUCUUCUGUUUCUCUACACUGUUGUAAGAACAUUAUAUUGCUCUUCAACUCAUUCGCUCUAUGGUUGGUUGUAUCAAUGUGAGUGGAGUUUUCUGUGUGUAAAAUCAUCUAUUUUAUCCAUUUCCUCCAUUGGUUCUCUACGCUGUUGUUAGAAAGUUUUUGUUUGGUAUAAGUAAAACUCCCAACCACAUUGAUUUGGGUACAGUGAAACCUGUAUAUAACGGACAGUCACGGGACCAAAAUAAUUGUCCGUUAUAGACAGGUUUCAAUGUUUUAAAAAUUAAAAUUUUUACGUACAUUUGUAUUGUUUUAUAUAUUGUUAUAUAUUUUAUAAUAUGUACAAUGUACAUAUUAGGUAUAAUCUUUAUUAAUAUUAUACAUAUAUGUAUUAUACACAUACAUUGUACAUUAUGAAUCUAAUUUUAAUUAUUUAUUACAAAAUGAUUCUAUUGAUGUUUGUUUUUUGAACUUUGAUUUGGUAAUUUCCAACUCGUGAUGGAUAAUUAAUUCGCUCACAUAUGAAAAUCCUUUUUCAUCGCCUUUAUUUAAAUAAAAUUCUUUCAGACGAAUAAGUUGUUCAAGAGCUCUCUAACCAGCCAUUGGAAGCUUUGAAAUCGUCAUACUUGAUUUCACGGGCAACUUCUAAAGUUUUUGCUUGAAUGAUUGGUCCAGACACAGACACAUUUUUAUUUCUUACAUGGUUAAACCACUCUAAAACAAUUUUAUCAAUCAAUUCACCUGGCCCGUUCCUCUGGAAUCAACGAGAUUUUUCGUUUGUGGAAUUUUCGUUGUAUCGACGUAAAAUAUCUUCUUUAUUCUUUAAGAGCCAAAUUUGUCAGCAAGUUAACGAAUAGACCAACCUCCGCUAGAGUGUUUUAAACGAAUAAUGUGCACCUUUUGUUUUAAAUUUAAAGCUUUACGCGGCACGGGAGGUGCCAUUGCUAAAGAAAAGAUGUACAACUCUGACUGCGAACGAUAGAAACUGAUUAAAAACGUUUGAUACCCAUGGUUAUCAUAUUUUAUACGUAUUGCAAUUUAUAUCUGGAUAUCUUGGACUUUAUAAAUUCAAUAGGCAAUUAGCGUUAUCGUAAUCGGCGAUAAUGACGUAAUUGGUCGUAUUCCGUGUUUUCACUGAAUGACCUAAUUGCGUUCCUCAUUGACGCUGUUUCGUAGUAUGUAUGUAUGUAUUUUUGUCCGUUAUGAAAUUGUUAGAUUAAAUAUUAGUGUCCGUGUCCGUAAUAUAAGGAGUCCGUUAUAGACAGGUCGAAAUACAUUAGAAUGUCUAUCUUUUUGCCGGGACCUGGUAAUUUUGUCCGUUAAGAGAGGUGUCCGUUAAGUCAGGUUUCACUGUAUUAUUAUUUUAUUAUUGAAGUAGACUAAUUCAUAAACUGUCACUGUUGCUUUGGGAUUAAACAUACAAAAGAUUAGUGUGUUCACAUAUAUAUUCUUCAACUCUGAAAGCAGUUUCUUGAACUCGAUUCCCUUCUUGGUCAAUCUGGUCAGGGGUUCAGUUAGCGUGGCAUAGUUCCUGACAAACCGCCGUAAGAAUCCCGUGAGUCCUAAGAAUCUUCGGAUCACAUGGACAUCCUUCAGAGUAGGAAACUCUUCAAUCGCCUUACUCUUGCCCUUGCCUGGACUGAUUUUUCCUUCUCCGACCACAAACCCCAAAAACUCUAUACUCUUGGAUCCAAACAAGCAUUUGGACGGUCUCAGUGAGAGCAUGUUUGUUUCAUUGAUUUCCUCUGGUUCCAGAGGUACUAUAAGAACUAGAGGUACUACUAUCGGUAUAUUAUUUUCCAUUUCCUCUUCUGGUUAUCUACGCUGUUGUUAGAAAGUUUUUGUUUGGUAUAAGUAAAACUCCCAACCACCUCGACUUGGAUAUUAUUAUUUUAUUAUUGAAGUAGACUAAUUCAAAGCGGCUAGUGCUUUUACAAUUGUGUUUAUUUUUUAUUUUUAUUUUUUUUUUAUCUUGUGCACUAAAUUUCUACCAGAAGGAGUGCUUCGAUUCCAACAUAUGGUAUCUUAUCUUUUUAGCAAAUUAAAUCAAGAUGGUACUUUAGAGAGCAUGUUUGUUUCAUUGAUUUCCUCUGGUUCCAGAGGUACUGUAAGAACUAGAGGUACUACUAUCGGUAUAUUAUUUUCCAUUUCCUCUUCUGGUUAUCUACGCUGUUGUUAGAAAGUUUUUGUUUGGUAUAAGUAAAACUCCCAACCACCUCGACUUGGAUAUUAUUAUUUUAUUAUUGAAGUAGACUAAUUCAAAGCGGCUAGUGCUUUUACAAUUGUGUUUAUUUUUUAUUUUUAUUUUUUUUUUAUCUUGUGCACUAAAUUUCUACCAGAAGGAGUGCUUCGAUUCCAACAUAUGGUAUCUUAUCUUUUUAGCAAAUUAAAUCAAGAUGGUACUUUAGAGAGCAUGUUUGUUUCAUUGAUUUCCUCUGGUUCCAGAGGUACUGUAAGAACUAGAGGUACUACUAUCGGUAUAUUAUUUUCCAUUUCCUCUUCUGGUUAUCUACGCUGUUGUUAGAAAGUUUUUGUUUGGUAUAAGUAAAACUCCCAACCACCUCGACUUGGAUAUUAUUAUUUUAUUAUCGAAGUAGACUAAUUCAAAGCGGCUAGUGCUUUUACAAUUGUGUUUAUUUUUUAUUUUAAUUUUUUUUUUAUCUUGUGCACUAAAUUUCUACCAGAAGGAGUGCUUCGAUUCCAACAUAUGGUAUCUUAUCUUUUUAGCAAAUUAAAUCAAGAUGGUACUUUAGAGAGCAUGUUUGUUUCAUUGAUUUCCUCUGGUUCCAGAGGUACUGUAAGAACUAGAGGUACUACUAUCGGUAUAUUAUUUUCCAUUUCCUCUUCUGGUUAUCUACGCUGUUGUUAGAAAGUUUUUGUUUGGUAUAAGUAAAACUCCCAACCACCUCGACUUGGAUAUUAUUAUUUUAUUAUCGAAGUAGACUAAUUCAAAGCGGCUAGUGCUUUUACAAUUGUGUUUAUUUUUUAUUUUAAUUUUUUUUUUAUCUUGUGCACUAAAUUUCUACCAGAAGGAGUGCUUCAAUUUCAACAUAAAGUAUCUUAUCUUUUUAGCAAAUUAAAUCAAGAUGGUACUUUAGAGAGCAUGUUUGUUUCAUUGAUUUCCUCUGGUUUCAGAGGUACUGUAAGAACUAGAGGUACUACUAUCGGUAUAUUGUUAUAUAUUUCGUCCAUUUCCUCUUCUGUUUCUCUACACUGUUGUAAGUUUUGUUUUAAUACCAAUAAGACAUAAGAAAACAAUUUAAACUAACUAACUUUCAGUUUAUUUAAUAGGGAGACAGUUGCACGUUUACAUGAUUUUAAAGAGUGAGUGUCAUACACACACUAAAAACCUAACCUACAAUUUAUGAACUUGGAUUGUUAUGCAACACAUAUUAUAUAACACACCCCCUCAAUCCAAAUUCAUUAAUAACAAUAACAAAUUAAUAAUAAUAAUUAACAACAGCAAUAAUAAUAAUGAAAUUACAAUCACUAUAGUAAAUAAUAAUUUUUUAAAUGUUAUACUUGGUAAGGAUUUAGUAAGUAAAUCUGCAACUUGGUUUUCAGUAGAAAUUUACUCUACCUACCAGUAUGUAAACCAAAUAAUAGAUAGAUGUAUAAUUAGAGAAAAUGUUGAAGCUGAGAUUUUGAAAGAUGAUUUGUAUGAAUGUGUUGACAAUUGUCAACUUAUUGAACAAAGAGUGUGGCAAAAUGUACUUAUUAAUGUUAAGAUAGAUUCUGCUAGUAUUCAUUUUGUUUCAAAGAAACCAGUAUCAGUAGAAUUGGUAGAAUAAUUAAAUCACAUUAACAUUUAGACAUGUAAUUUUAAAGCAUAUCUAUUACCUGUUUUGUAUUAUAGUAUAUAUUAUAUUUUCUUAUUUUAUUUUAUAUUCAUCAUAGGUAUUUAAUAUUUAUUAAAUUGUCACUAAAUAAGUAAUAUUGUGUCAUUAAUACAUUUUUUUUUUAAUUAUAUAUUAAUUGUUCAUUAGUUUUGUAUAAUAUGUAACUAUAUUUUGUAGGUAUGGUGUAUUUUGUUUUCUUUUAAAGUAUAAUAGUUUACUUAGUUACUGUAACGUUUUUGUAUUUUUCUUAUUGACUUAAUUACAAAAUAUUGUAUAUAACCUUAAAUAAUUAAAUACAUAGAUCAUAGUUAAAACAAGCAGUGUCAACUUAUGUGUUCAUGUAUGUGUGCAUGCUUGACUACAUGUUAUUAUAUUAAAACACCAUAUUAAUGAAA
Long non-coding RNA from Metopolophium dirhodum (rose-grain aphid), 7621 nucleotides. RefSeq lists it as uncharacterized. The transcript is spliced from 2 exons. The record is from RefSeq and is a predicted model, not a curated record. NCBI's taxonomy places the organism in Eukaryota, Metazoa, Arthropoda, Insecta, Hemiptera, Aphididae.